Molecule: ribosomal RNA, 497 nt
Filed under: uncultured bacterium
Lineage: Bacteria
Description: partial 16S ribosomal RNA
Rfam family: Bacterial small subunit ribosomal RNA
Source: RNAcentral
GAUGAACGCUGGCGGCGUGCCUAAUACAUGCAAGUCGAGCGAACAGACGAGGAGCUUGCUCCUCUGACGUUAGCGGCGGACGGGUGCGUAACACGUGGAUAACCUACCUAUAAGACUGGGAUAAAUUCGGGAAACCGGAGCUAAUACCGGAUAAUAUAUUGAACCGCAUGGUUCAAUAGUGAAAGGCGGAUUUGCAGUCACUUAUAGAUGGAUCCGAGCCACAUUAGCUAGUUGGUAAGGUAACGUCUUACCAAGGCAACGAUCCGUAGCCGACCUGGGAGGGCGAAUGGCCACGCUAUAGCUGAGACAGGAACCAGACUCCUACUGAGGUCGACAGUAGGGAUUCGGGCGCAACGGGCGAAAGCCUGACAGAGCAACCGCGCGUGAGUAGUGGAGGUCUUCGGAUCAAAAAACCCUGUUAUUAGGGAAGAACAAUUGUGUAAGUACCUAUGCACGUCUUGACGGUACCUAAUCAGAAAGCAACGGCUAACUACGUG